Frankliniella occidentalis (western flower thrips) is the source of this 2788-nucleotide RNA transcript. RefSeq lists it as uncharacterized. The record is from RefSeq and is a predicted model, not a curated record. NCBI's taxonomy places the organism in Eukaryota, Metazoa, Arthropoda, Insecta, Thysanoptera, Thripidae. The transcript has 5 exons.
UUCUCUUUCGAAUGAUAUGCAUGAUAUGCAUCAUUAUCGAGUUUGCCUUAUUUCGUGCUUUCGUGCUUUCGUCUUUGCUUCCACUCUCCUGCUUCCUGACAGCACCGGACAGCUAUGGACUGGUCGGAAGAGGGAGUACAUUCUCCGACUACAAUGACCACGAGCACACAUUUCGAAUACGUCCUUAUGGUCCUUACAGAAGUUUGAAUGAAGAGGGUGGGUUGGUAUUUCCACUGGACUGCUGACAGAGUUUCAGGAUUGGCAAAUUUUAUUUAAAUCCACAUGCCGCAGUUCUUAUAGUUCUUGCGCCACUAGUGUUGAGCUCCAAUCAUAUGUAUUGUGAAUAACGAGGAUUUAUUAUGUUACAAAUAUUUGCUCACAGACAUUGCCCAGAAUCACUUUUACAGGUAGACACCUGUUCGCCCAGGAACAGUGGAAAUCUCUACAUCCAGAAAAGAAAUUUACACAGGUUUUAAGAAAGUUAUAAACACUUGUCUAGUAAUUUUUUCAUUGAUUCAAGAAGGCAUGUGUAAUUUACGUGACAUAUAAUCUACAGACUGUUUAUCUCCAGUGUCUGACUUAUAGCAGCAAUGCCACAUUGUGGGUGAAAAGGUCUAUUCUAACUGUUGUACACCUUCUGUCAAUCCAGGGUGAUUGCCGUGUUCGGCGCAAUCAUACUUUUUGUGCUGCUGCAGAUGGCAGCCGUCGUUAUUGUCAUCGCCCCUAUCAAAUACUAUGUUGACUAUGCCGCCGUACAUAAUCUGGCGUUUGAUUUGGUUCUUUGUUUGUUCCAGGCGUACCGUGUGCUCUACAAAACUAAGAAAUAAAUGUUAAAUUCCCAACAAGUGCGCCUCAUUUUUACUUCUGUGUGAAUGUAGAUACAUAAACAUAAAGAUACUCCUGACUGCAAUGAUUUACAAAAGCUGCCUGGUCUUUGAAACACUGAAAAGAAUUUUAAAAGCGCCUUCUUGAGCAAAAGAAUUGCACUAUCAGUUAAAAAAAUUAACGGUAAGUGCCAUGUAAAUGGCUACCACAGCACAGCACCUUGCGCAGAGAUGAGGAGCAUCCUAGGUACGCAAUCUACUGUAUAUCAAAACCAAAGCUGCUCAUUGGUGAUGAUAAUUAGAACGAACAGACCCCGAAUCAGAUUAUGUUUUUGAAGGGUGCUGUAAAACAUCGCAAGACCUAAGGAAACAUGAAUUCUAGGGUUAGUUACUCUAGUAGUUCAACUAGCCAGGAGGGGCCAGCUGCUCCUUCAGUGUCAGCAAUCUAUGGUCGUCGAACAUCAUGAUUAUGGAGUCUAGUAGUCCAGAUGACUCUGAAUCAGAGAGGUCUUGCUUCUCUCCCGGGAUGGAAGCAGCUGCUGGCCGAAGCUCAGUAACAGGUGCUGGCCUGAGCUUGGAAACAGCUGCUGGCCAAAGAUCCGAGGAAAGGGCAGCACUUUCCCCUGCUGCCCAAGCUGCCUUGCAGGCAGCAGCCGCUCCAUCCCGGGGAAAUGUCAAGAAAUUUAAGUCAAAUGGAGGUGUAGCAGUUGUCCCACCUCCCGACGAUUUUGCUGGCCGGAAGAAGAGGGAGGCCGACGCCAGGAUAGACAGGAGUUUGAAAGUUAUGUCCAGCGUGGCGAAACAAGUAGGGGACUUCUUUGCGACAAGGAAUAGCAGCACAAAGUCUUUUGCUAUUGACGAUGAAGAUGAAGAAGUGAAUGCCUUGCUGGGCGUUAUUAAAGUAAGCUUCAAAAGGAGGAUUUUAGUCGUCCAUAAAAAGGAAUGUAUAAGAGCGGUAGAAAAUGUUCUCCGGCGAUUUGAAGAUAUGAGUUAGUUUUAAGUCUGUUUUGUUUUCUCUUGUUGAUUUUACUCUUAUACUCUUACUCUUUUACUUUUAUACGGGUAAUUUUUAAAUGUUGACUGAUUUUAAAUGUUGACUGUUUUUAAAUGUUGACUGUUUUUAAAUGUUGACUGAGAGGAUAAGCCUACUGGAUAGCAAUCAUCAGGCUAUGUCAGAUGACUCAGUUUUUGAGUUUCAUCACAAUGACCUGCCUUAUUACUGCUACCCAGAAGGUUAUUGUUAAGUGUUAGGUAGGUCAUUGUUUUGUAACUGAUAAGACUGAGUCAUGUGACAUAGAUUGUUGAACGGCUGGCUGUGAAUCCUUGCCAUAUUUUCUUAGUGGAAUACAUCACUUAAAUUUUAAAUAAUUAUUUUAUUCAAUUGAGCAUAAUUCAGUACACCAUCAUUAUCACAGUAAUUAUAUCACACCCAACAAACAAGUACACCACUCACAUUAGGUUACAUAGGGCCUCUUACCAUUGGUACAUUUCUCAAGGCAUAAUCAUAUUGCCAUGGUACUUCUCCAUGUUCUGACACUUGAGUGACAUUGACCAGGGGGUAGAAACGGAGGGCUCAGGCCGCACACCAUGCGCGUCCCGGGCCGCGCGCCAGCCGGUUGAACACACGCAUGUCUUUUCCGCACUUUUUGAAGCUGUUUGAUAUUUUGACCAACCGCAUGAGUGGUAUCGCGCGAAAGGGCAGAGUUCGAACUUUACCGAGGUGCCUUUACAAUCCACCUUCGGUUUCAUUUGGCCGAGAUAAUUUGAUUAUAGUGAACCAACAGACCACUCGGAGGCCCCGCCGGGGCGCAAACAAAACAAAUUUUUACGUAAGCCAAGCGAUUGUAUUGUUGAACGAGGGUGUAACUAACAAGAUUACUAAACCAGCUUUCGAAUAGGAUAGGUGUCCUUUCGGUCUGAUCAAAAUAUAUCCUCCAUUUUAUAAAAAUAAGCUGAUCGACGCG